This 23-nucleotide small nuclear RNA is filed under the name Arabidopsis thaliana (thale cress). RNAcentral's name for it is "snRNA_18227". Lineage: Eukaryota; Viridiplantae; Streptophyta; Magnoliopsida; Brassicales; Brassicaceae. The record is from RNAcentral.
UGAUAGAGAGACUUGCCAAUCAU